AGGGCGGUAGGUCAAUUGGUAGACUAUCGGUCUCCAAAACCGAGGGUUGCGAGUUCGAGUCUCGCCCGCCCUGCCA
This 76-nucleotide transfer RNA is filed under the name Planctomycetaceae bacterium. RNAcentral's name for it is "tRNA-Trp". It matches the Rfam family "tRNA". Rfam says of the family: Transfer RNA (tRNA) molecules are approximately 80 nucleotides in length. Their secondary structure includes four short double-helical elements and three loops (D, anti-codon, and T loops). Lineage: Bacteria; Pseudomonadati; Planctomycetota; Planctomycetia; Planctomycetales; Planctomycetaceae. The record is from RNAcentral. RNAcentral also lists the same sequence under 2 other names.